Molecule: ribosomal RNA, 1180 nt
Filed under: uncultured Streptococcus sp.
Lineage: Bacteria; Bacillati; Bacillota; Bacilli; Lactobacillales; Streptococcaceae
Description: bacterial SSU rRNA
Rfam family: Bacterial small subunit ribosomal RNA
Source: RNAcentral
CCUAAUACAUGCAAGUAGAACGCUGAAGAGAGGAGCUUGCUCUUCUUGGAUGAGUUGCGAACGGGUGAGUAACGCGUAGGUAACCUGCCUUGUAGCGGGGGAUAACUAUUGGAAACGAUAGCUAAUACCGCAUAACAAUGGAUGACCCAUGUCAUUUAUUUGAAAGGGGCAAAUGCUCCACUACAAGAUGGACCUGCGUUGUAUUAGCUAGUAGGUGAGGUAACGGCUCACCUAGGCGACGAUACAUAGCCGACCUGAGAGGGUGAUCGGCCACACUGGGACUGAGACACGGCCCAGACUCCUACGGGAGGCAGCAGUAGGGAAUCUUCGGCAAUGGGGGCAACCCUGACCGAGCAACGCCGCGUGAGUGAAGAAGGUUUUCGGAUCGUAAAGCUCUGUUGUAAGUCAAGAACGAGUGUGAGAGUGGAAAGUUCACACUGUGACGGUAGCUUACCAGAAAGGGACGGCUAACUACGUGCCAGCAGCCGCGGUAAUACGUAGGUCCCGAGCGUUGUCCGGAUUUAUUGGGCGUAAAGCGAGCGCAGGCGGUUUGAUAAGUCUGAAGUUAAAGGCUGUGGCUCAACCAUAGUUCGCUUUGGAAACUGUCAAACUUGAGUGCAGAAGGGGAGAGUGGAAUUCCAUGUGUAGCGGUGAAAUGCGUAGAUAUAUGGAGGAACACCGGUGGCGAAAGCGGCUCUCUGGUCUGUAACUGACGCUGAGGCUCGAAAGCGUGGGGAGCGAACAGGAUUAGAUACCCUGGUAGUCCACGCCGUAAACGAUGAGUGCUAGGUGUUGGAUCCUUUCCGGGAUUCAGUGCCGCAGCUAACGCAUUAAGCACUCCGCCUGGGGAGUACGACCGCAAGGUUGAAACUCAAAGGAAUUGACGGGGGCCCGCACAAGCGGUGGAGCAUGUGGUUUAAUUCGAAGCAACGCGAAGAACCUUACCAGGUCUUGACAUCCCGAUGCUAUUUCUAGAGAUAGAAAGUUACUUCGGUACAUCGGUGACAGGUGGUGCAUGGUUGUCGUCAGCUCGUGUCGUGAGAUGUUGGGUUAAGUCCCGCAACGAGCGCAACCCCUAUUGUUAGUUGCCAUCAUUCAGUUGGGCACUCUAGCGAGACUGCCGGUAAUAAACCGGAGGAAGGUGGGGAUGACGUCAAAUCAUCAUGCCCCUUAUGACCUG